RNAcentral lists this ribosomal RNA (1365 nucleotides) under uncultured prokaryote. RNAcentral's name for it is "partial 16S ribosomal RNA". It matches the Rfam family "Bacterial small subunit ribosomal RNA", at positions 24 to 1382 of the family's 1533-position model. The record is from RNAcentral.
UCAGAACGAACGCUGGCGGCGUGCCUAACACAUGCAAGUCGAACGGUAACAGGUCCUUCGGGACGCUGACGAGUGGCGCACGGGUGAGUAACGCGUGGAUAUCUGCCUAUUAGUGGGGGACAACUACAGGAAACUGUAGCUAAUACCGCAUAAUCUCUACGGAGGAAAGCAGGGGACCUUUCGGGGCCUUGCGCUGAUAGAUGAGUCCGCGUCUGAUUAGCUAGUUGGUAAGGUAAAAGCUUACCAAGGCGAUGAUCAGUAACUGGUUUGAGAGGAUGAUCAGUCACACUGGAACUGAGACACGGUCCAGACUUCUACGGAAGGCAGCAGUGGGGAAUUUUGCACAAUGGGCGCAAGCCUGAUGCAGCGAUGCCGCGUGUGGGAAGAAGGCUUUCGGGUUGUAAAGCACUUUCAAUUGGGAAGAAGAGAUGAGGCUUAAUAAGCUUCUGAUUUGACGGUACCUUUAGAAGAAGCACCGGCUAAUUUCGUGCCAGCAGCCGCGGUAAUACGAAAGGUGCAAGCGUUGUUCGGAAAUUACUGGGCGUAAAGCGUGCGUACGCGGUUUGUUAAGUGAGAUGUGAAAUCCCGGGGCUCAACCUCGGAACUGCAUUUCAAACUGGCAAGCUAGAGUACUGUAGAGGGUGGUGGAAUUUCCAGUGUAGCGGUGAAAUGCGUAGAGAUUGGAAGGAACAUCAGUGGCGAAGGCGGCCACCUGGACAGAUACUGACGCUGAGGCACGAAAGCGUGGGGAGCAAACAGGAUUAGAUACCCUGGUAGUCCACGCCGUAAACGAUGUCAACUAACUGUCUUUAGACUUGAGCUGUGGGUAGUGAACCUAACGCGAUAAGUUGACCGCCUGGGGAGUACGGCCGCAAGGUUAAAACUCAAAUGAAUUGACGGGGGCCCGCACAAGCGGUGGAGCAUGUGGUUUAAUUCGAAUAUACGCGAAGAACCUUACCUAGCCUUGACAUAUUUUAGAACACACCAGAGAUGGAGUGAUGCCUUCGGGAGCUAAUUUACAGGUGCUGCACGGCUGUCGUCAGCUCGUGUCGUGAGAUGUUGGGUUAAGUCCCGCAACGAGCGCAACCCUCGUGUCUAGUUACUAACAGUUCGGCUGAGGACUCUAGACAGACUGCCUUCGUAAGGAGGAGGAAGGUGAGGACGACGUCAAGUCAUCAUGGCCCUUACGGCUAGGGCAACACACGUGCUACAAUGGAUAGGACAGUGAGAAGCGAUACCGCGAGAGUAAGCUAAUCUCAGAAAGCCGAUCUUAGUCCGGAUUGGAGUCUGCAACUCGACUCCAUGAAGUUGGAAUCGCUAGUAAUCGCGGAUCAGAAUGCCGCGGUGAAUACGUUCCCGGGCCUU